GUUGGGGGUACUCCGUUUACUUCGUGGUUUGUUUUCCAGGCAGCUAUUUAUACACUCUUCAACCAUAAAUUUCACAAGUCCUCGAAAGUUGUCAAUGUCGCCGUUUUGUCUUCGCUCUCGUUCUAUUCCUCGCUCGAAUUUGGCUUCCAAGGAGGCAAGAUCAUCUUUGGUCGGAAUGUUGGAUAACUGCGUGCUCAACUACAAUAAAUAUGUUUAAGAAUUAAACCCCUUUUGCUUAUUGGUGACUUGGUUUCGGUGACAGAAUAUAUUUUCGAAACAACAGCAGGUAAUUUCGUGAUAAAAAGUCGAAAUAAAAAAUAUUAAAAUAUUAACUCA
Long non-coding RNA from Folsomia candida, 336 nucleotides. RefSeq lists it as uncharacterized. The transcript is spliced from 2 exons. Lineage: Eukaryota; Metazoa; Arthropoda; Collembola; Entomobryomorpha; Isotomidae. The record is from RefSeq and is a predicted model, not a curated record.